This 492-nucleotide ribosomal RNA is filed under the name uncultured bacterium. Its description in RNAcentral is "partial 16S ribosomal RNA". It matches the Rfam family "Bacterial small subunit ribosomal RNA", at positions 29 to 507 of the family's 1533-position model. The record is from RNAcentral.
AGUGAACGCUGGCGGUAGGCCUAACACAUGCAAGUAGAACGGCAGCACAGUAAGAGCUUGCUCUUACGGGUGGCGAGUGGCGGACGGGUGAGGAAUACAUCGGAACCUACUUUUUCGUGGGGGAUAACGUAGGUAAACUUACGCUAAUACCGCAUACGACCUACGGGUGAAAGCAGGGGAUCUUCGGACCUUGCGCGAUUGAAUGAGCCGAUGUCGGAUUAGCUAGUUGGUGGGGUAAAGGCCCACCAAGGCGACGAUCCGUAGCUGGUCUGAGAGGAUGGACCGCCACACUGGAACUGAGAAUGAGUCCAGACUCCUACGGUGGGCAGCAGUGGGGAAUAUUGGACAAUGGGCGCAAGCCUGAUCCAGCAAUACCGCGUGGGUGAAGAAGGCCUUCGGGUUGUAAAGCCCUUUUGUUGGGAAAGAAAAGCUGCAGGUUAAUACGCCGCUGUUCUGACGGUACCCAAAGAAUAAGCACCGGCUAACUUCGUG